ACUUAAUUAGUUUAUAAUAGAAUAUUGAUUUGUGAUAUCAAAGGAAUGUUUAACAUAUUAGGUU
RNAcentral lists this transfer RNA (64 nucleotides) under Cardiodactylus muiri. RNAcentral describes it as "tRNA-His". The record is from RNAcentral. Lineage: Eukaryota; Metazoa; Arthropoda; Insecta; Orthoptera; Gryllidae.